GACGAACGCUGGCGGCGUGCUUAACACAUGCAAGUCGAACGGAAAGGCCCCCUCUUGGUGGGGGUUCUCGGGUUGCGAACGGGUGAGUUACACGUUGGUGGUCUUCCCUGUUCUUCGGGAUUAGCUUGGGAAACUUGGUCUAAUACCGGAUAGGACCAUGGUUUAGUGUCUCCUUGUUGAAAGGUUAUUUUUUUUGUUCCGGAUGAGCUCGCGGCCUAUCAGCUUGUUGGUGGGGUAAUGGCCUACCAAGGCGUCGACGGGUAGCCGGCCUGAGAGGGUGGACGGCCACAUUGGGACUGAGAUACGGCCCAGACUCCUACGGGAGGCAGCAGUGGGGAAUAUUGCACAAUGGGCGCAAGCCUGAUGCAGCGACGCCGCGUGGGGGAUGACGGCCUUCGGGUUGUAAACUCCUUUCGUUAGGGACGAAGCCGCACUUUUUUUGGGUGUGGUGACGGUACCUUUGUUAAGAAGCACCGGCUAACUACGUG
This 488-nucleotide ribosomal RNA is filed under the name uncultured bacterium. RNAcentral's name for it is "partial 16S ribosomal RNA". It matches the Rfam family "Bacterial small subunit ribosomal RNA", at positions 28 to 507 of the family's 1533-position model. The record is from RNAcentral.